This 295-nucleotide ribosomal RNA is filed under the name uncultured bacterium. Its description in RNAcentral is "partial 16S ribosomal RNA". It matches the Rfam family "Bacterial small subunit ribosomal RNA", at positions 775 to 1067 of the family's 1533-position model. The record is from RNAcentral.
GGAUUAGAUACCCUGGUAGUCCACGCCGUAAACGAUGAGUGCUAGAUAUCGGGAAUUAAAUUUUCGGUUUCGCAGUUAACGCAUUAAGCACUCCGCCUGGGGACUACGAUCGCAAGAUUAAAACUCAAAGGAAUUGACGGGGGCUCGCACAAGUGGUGGAGCAUGCGGUUUAAUUCGAUGCUACGCGAAAAACCUUACCAACCCUUGACAUGGUGGUCGCGAGAGACAGAGAUGACUCUCUUCAGUUCGGCUGGACCACACACAGGUGUUGCAUGGCUGUCGUCAGCUCGUGCCG